GCCUUGUGCAGUUAACGCUACAGUUCGUAAAAUAAGGCAUUUCCGAGGUAUUUGACUCAAAAGGAAUUAGAGACGGCUAUGAAGGGGAUGGAUGAAGACAAUAACAAUCAAAGUCAAAUCUACUAAUUUUGAAAGAAAACGCCAUCUAGUGCCAAGAAAUGUAUUUAUGCCGGAAAAUGCCACCUAGUGCCCAGAAAAUGAAUAUGACAAUUACACUUCAAGUUGUGCCUGCCGCAAGGUCUAAUAUAUCAUGAUUUCCAUAAAAUAUCUUUCUGAUGUCAAUCAUCCUUCUGAACAUCUGACAUAUCUCGGCGCGGGAAGUACGGAAUUAUAACUCAUAUUUGGAAGAAGUGUUUUGCUUUUAAGUUUUGCUCUUAAAGUGUAGAUGAGAUUAAAAAUAAAAUUGCGGUUAUAUUUUCUGGUGGUCAAAUUACUUUGACAUAUUCAAAGCAGAGAAAGGCUCUCAAUUAAAAAUGCUACUAAGGGUGUUUCAUUUACUUAAUUUAUAAAUAUUGUAAUCAGUUUAAAAUAUUUUUUUUCUCAUUCCUGCAAAGGCAAAGCUUUGUCUUGGAGAACGCAUAUCCACUGUAUUUCAAUG
Long non-coding RNA from Cylas formicarius (sweet potato weevil), 598 nucleotides. RefSeq lists it as uncharacterized. Lineage: Eukaryota; Metazoa; Arthropoda; Insecta; Coleoptera; Brentidae. The transcript has 4 exons. The record is from RefSeq and is a predicted model, not a curated record.